GCAAAAAAUCGCGCGCCCCCCCACCCCUGGGAAUUGAAGGAAGAUACAAAGACUUUGUUGGAGGUUUUUUGGGUGAAGGGAAGUUUUCCCAGCCUCGAAACUUGGAAGAAUUGGCAGUUUGAGGCUUUGUUUACAACAUGGAUGCCAGCUGAUAAUGGUCAGGAUCCUGUGUUUUUUGCAGUGGAGGCUGAAAAAAAGACCAAACUUCCAUCUGCGCAUCCAAGGCACUACGUGAUCUUCUAGGGGGUGCAUCUUUAUGGGGAUGGUUGCAGAGGGGGAACUCACGUCUAUAGAACUCCAUGAAGUUCUUGAUGUCAGUAUCUGCAGAUGCAAAAAAAAAAGGGCCUUAGACCUCGUGACAAUGCUGAGGGGGAAUCCUUCGUAGUCGUCAACGAGGUCGGCAGCAACAUUAGCAGGAAUGGAGGUGAGUGAUUCGAUA
This is a long non-coding RNA of Branchiostoma belcheri (Belcher's lancelet), 439 nucleotides long. RefSeq lists it as uncharacterized. The transcript is spliced from 3 exons. The record is from RefSeq and is a predicted model, not a curated record. Lineage: Eukaryota; Metazoa; Chordata; Leptocardii; Amphioxiformes; Branchiostomatidae.